Molecule: non-coding RNA, 54 nt
Organism: Danio rerio (zebrafish)
Lineage: Eukaryota; Metazoa; Chordata; Actinopteri; Cypriniformes; Danionidae
Source: Rfam
CUCCUCCUCAUUUGUAAGUCGCUUUGGAUAAAAGCGUCUGCUAAAUGACAAUGU